This 857-nucleotide long non-coding RNA is filed under the name Homo sapiens (human). Its description in RNAcentral is "HSALNT0279091". The record is from RNAcentral. Lineage: Eukaryota; Metazoa; Chordata; Mammalia; Primates; Hominidae.
GCUGAGGACUGGCCUGGGGUUGCUUGUUGGCGACGUGCCUUCUGCCAUCCUUUCUUCUUGGCCUGAUGGCAGAGUCAGGACUGCCUGCCUGGGGACAUAAUUAGUAAAUGUGUCAUCUGCUGGCAGAUUACGAUGUAGUGCUAAACCUUUCUCUAGGUACGAUUCUGUCCCAGCGAUUCCUCCGCCUGGGCCAGGCGUCAGCCCUAAUGAAAGGCUGCAGGACCUGUCCACACCGUGUCUGUCUGUGACCUAAUGGGUGUGACGGGAGGCUGAUGAAGUAAGUAAGUCUCUCCCGGGUCCGCCAGAUUGGGUCGGCAAGUGAAUAGCACGUGGGCACGCCAGGAGGAAGCUGGGCUGGCAGCUGUGAGGUGGAUCCCAGCAGCCAGCCCAUGAAUAGCCCCAUGCUCACCCCUCCCCUGGGCUCCUCCCCACUCCCUGACCCCAUCCAGAGCAGCCCGGCCCCUCCUCUGCAGGGCUGCAACCUCUGCCCAGGGAUCCCUGCAGCUCCCACCUUCCUACUCGCAUUUCCUGAGCAGCAGCAAGGGACACCCUUAAGAAAAAAGAAAAUCAAUGUCUGUGCUGCCCUCGUCUGUGUCUCAGCACCUGCAGCAGCGUCUGGCCCAGGGCAGGCCUUCCAAUGCAUUUGUGGAGUAAGGGAAGGAAGCUGGGAAGCUCUGUCACUGGGCAUCGGAGCUGAAAGGAGGACAAGACCCUGAGGCUUGGAGGCUCCAGUGGAACUGGGAGGACUUGGGAGGCGGUGGGGCCUCCUGCUCUCUGCAGGUAUUUCCAGGCUCCCGGCCGCAGCUGUCUUGAGACUAUGGCCCCGAGGAGGCGGGAGAUGGAGGGUGAGAUUCUGG